CCUACGGGAGGCAGCAGUGGGGGAUAUUGCACAAUGGGGGAAACCCUGAUGCAGCGACGCCGCGUGGGUGAAGAAGCGCCUCGGCGCGUAAAGCCCUGUCAGCAGGGAAGAAAAUGACGGUACCUGAAGAAUAAGCCCCGGCUAACUACGUGCCAGCAGCCGCGGUAAUACGUAGGGGGCAAGCGUUAUCCGGAUUUACUGGGUGUAAAGGGGGCGCAGGCGGCGAUGCAAGCCAGGAGUGAAAGCCCGGGGCCCAACCCCGGGACGGCUGUUGGAACUGCGUGGCUAGAGUGCAGGAGGGGCAGGCGGAAUUCGUGGGGUAGCGGUGAAAUGCGUAGAUAUGAGGAAGAACACCGAUGGCGAAGGCGGCCUGCUGGACUGCAACUGACGUUGAGGCCCGAAAGCGUGGGGAGCAAACAGGAUGAGAUACCCCUGUAGUC
This 440-nucleotide ribosomal RNA is filed under the name uncultured bacterium. RNAcentral describes it as "partial 16S ribosomal RNA". It matches the Rfam family "Bacterial small subunit ribosomal RNA", at positions 338 to 795 of the family's 1533-position model. The record is from RNAcentral.